CAGUCGCCGCGGGAAUACGUAGGUGGCAAGUGUUGUCCGGAAUUAUUGGGCGUAAAGCGCGCGCAGGUGGUUUAAUAAGUCUGAUGUGAAAGCCCACGGCUCAACCGUGGAGGGUCAUUGGAAACUGUUAAACUUGAGUGCAGGAGAGAAAAGUGGAAUUCCUAGUGUAGCGGUGAAAUGCGUAGAUAUUAGGAAGAACACCAGUGGCGAAGGCGACUUUCUGGACGAAAACUGACGCUGAGGCGCGAAAGCCAGGGGAGCGAACGGGAUUAGAGACCCCGUAGUCCCUGUCUCUUAUACA
This 301-nucleotide ribosomal RNA is filed under the name uncultured bacterium. RNAcentral describes it as "partial 16S ribosomal RNA". It matches the Rfam family "Bacterial small subunit ribosomal RNA", at positions 509 to 809 of the family's 1533-position model. The record is from RNAcentral.